This 254-nucleotide ribosomal RNA is filed under the name uncultured bacterium. Its description in RNAcentral is "partial 16S ribosomal RNA". It matches the Rfam family "Bacterial small subunit ribosomal RNA", at positions 100 to 354 of the family's 1533-position model. The record is from RNAcentral.
CGACGGGUGAGUAACGCGUGGGUAACCUGCCUUGCACUGGGGGAUAACACUUAGAAAUAGGUGCUAAUACCGCAUAAGCGCACGGUCCUGCAUGGGACAGUGUGAAAAACUCCGGUGGUGCAAGAUGGACCCGCGUCUGAUUAGCUGGUUGGCGGGGUAAAGGCCCACCAAGGCGACGAUCAGUAGCCGGCCUGAGAGGGUGGACGGCCACAUUGGGACUGAGACACGGCCCAAACUCCUACGGAAGGCAGCAG